This 356-nucleotide unclassified non-coding RNA is filed under the name uncultured fungus. RNAcentral's name for it is "sequence contains ITS1". The stretch from base 1 to 104 matches the Rfam family "5.8S ribosomal RNA", at positions 50 to 154 of the family's 154-position model. The record is from RNAcentral. Lineage: Eukaryota; Fungi.
GAAAUGCGAUAAGCAAUGCGAAUUGCAGAAUUCAGUGAAUCAUCAGAUCUUUGAACGCAGCUUGCGCCCUCGGGAAAACUGGGGGUAUGCCUGUUUCAGUGUCUUAAAUGAACCUCACUACCACAUCUUUCGGGGUGUGCAGUCAGUGGAAACUGAGCGUCAGACUCUUUCAGUGGAGUUUGUCACUUCAAGUACAUGGCCUGGGGUCACACUAAAAUCCCACUACGCAGUGUAGUAGUCACACUUCGUGUGAAUCUCACUGCGACGGGAUUGUGACCGUCUGCUUUAGGCUCAUAGGAACAUUUAAACAUCUCAACUGAGACCUGAAAUCAGGCAAGAUUACCCGCUGGAUUUAA